GAUGAACGCUAGCUACAGGCUUAACACAUGCAAGUCGCGGGGCAGCAUGGGGGUUGCUUGCCAUCCCCGAUGGCGACCGGCGCACGGGUGAGUAACGCGUAUCCAACCUGCCCUUCACCACGGGAUAACCCGGCGAAAGUCGGACUAAUACCGUAUGUUGUCCAUUGACGGCAUCCGAUUUGGACGAAAGGCUUGGCGGUGAGGGAUGGGGAUGCGGCCGAUUAGCCAGACGGCGGGGUAACGGCCCACCGUGGCUACGAUCGGUAGGGGUUCUGAGAGGAAGGUCCCCCACACUGGAACUGAGACACGGUCCAGACUCCUACGGGAGGCAGCAGUGAGGAAUAUUGGUCAAUGGGCGUAAGCCUGAACCAGCCAAGUAGCGUGCAGGAUGACGGCCCUAUGGGUUGUAAACUGCUUUUAUGCGGGGAUAAAGUGGCCCACGUGUGGGCUUUUGCAGGUACCGCAUGAAUAAGGACCGGCUAAUUCCGUG
RNAcentral lists this ribosomal RNA (490 nucleotides) under uncultured bacterium. Its description in RNAcentral is "partial 16S ribosomal RNA". It matches the Rfam family "Bacterial small subunit ribosomal RNA", at positions 28 to 507 of the family's 1533-position model. The record is from RNAcentral.